This 532-nucleotide ribosomal RNA is filed under the name Fermentozyma sake. RNAcentral describes it as "LSU rRNA". It matches the Rfam family "Eukaryotic large subunit ribosomal RNA", at positions 49 to 594 of the family's 3401-position model. Lineage: Eukaryota; Fungi; Ascomycota; Pichiomycetes; Serinales; Debaryomycetaceae. The record is from RNAcentral.
UACUGAGGAAAAGGAAACCAACCGGGAUUGCCUCAGUAACGGCGAGUGAAGCGGCAAAAGCUCAAAUUUGAAAUCUGCGUAAGCCGAGUUGUAAUUUGAAGAUGGCUACUUUGGUAAUGGCUCUUGUCUAUGUUCCUUGGAACAGGACGUCACAGAGGGUGAGAAUCCCGUGCGAUGAGAUGUCCAUUACCGUGUAAAGUGCUUUCGAAGAGUCGAGUUGUUUGGGAAUGCAGCUCUAAGUGGGUGGUAAAUUCCAUCUAAAGCUAAAUAUUGGCGAGAGACCGAUAGCGAACAAGUACAGUGAUGGAAAGAUGAAAAGAACUUUGAAAAGAGAGUGAAAAAGUACGUGAAAUUGUUGAAAGGGAAGGGCUUGAGAUCAGACUUGGUAUUUUGUAUGGCUUGCUUUCGGGCGGGUCCUCUGCAGUUUACUGGGCCAGCAUCGGUUUGGGUGGCAGGAUAAUAGCAUAGGAAUGUGGCUCUACUUCGGUGGAGUGUUAUAGCCUUUGUUGAUACUGCCUGCCUAGACCGAGGA